Molecule: ribosomal RNA, 440 nt
Filed under: uncultured bacterium
Lineage: Bacteria
Description: partial 16S ribosomal RNA
Rfam family: Bacterial small subunit ribosomal RNA
Source: RNAcentral
CCUACGGGAGGCAGCAGUGGGGAAUAUUGCACAAUGGGGGAAACCCUGAUGCAGCGACGCCGCGUGAGUGAAGAAGUAAUUCGUUAUGUAAAGCUAUAUCAGAAGGGCAGAAAAUGACGGUACCUGAGUAAGAAGCCCCGGCUAACUACGUGCCAGCAGCCGCGGUAAUACGUAGGGGGCAAGCGUUAUCCGGAUUUACUGGGUGUAAAGGGAGCGUAGACGGCAGUGCAAGUCUGGAGUGAAAGGCUGGGGCUCAACCCCCGGACUGCUCUGGAAACUGUACGGCUGGAGUGCAGGAGAGGUAAGUGGAAUUCUUAGUGUAGCGGUGAAAUGCGUAGAUAUUAGGAGGAACACCAGUGGCGAAGGCGGCUUACUGGACUGUAACUGACGUUGAGGCUCGAAAGCGUGGGGAGCAAACAGGAUUAGAUACCCGGGUAGUC